GUGAGGAAUUAUGCGCAAUGGGGGCAACCCUGACGCUGCGACGCCGCGUGGGCGAUGAAGGUCUUCGGAUCGUAAAGCCCUGUCGAGAGGGAAGAAAAGUCCGGGUGCUAAUACCGCCCGGACCUGACGGUACCUCUGGAGGAAGCCCCGGCUAACUCCGUGCCAGCAGCCGCGGUAAUACGGAGGGGGCGAGCGUUGUUCGGAAUUACUGGGCGUAAAGCGCGCGCAGGCGGCUAGGUAAGUCGGAUGUGAAAGCCCUCGGCUCAACCGAGGAACUGCGUCCGAUACUGCCCGGCUUGAGUCCGGUAGGGGAUGGCAGAAUUCCCGGUGUAGCGGUGGAAUGCGUAGAUAUCGGGAGGAAUACCGAUGGCGAAGGCGGCCAUCUGGGCCGGAACUGACGCUGAGGCGCGAAAGCUAGGGGAGCAAACAGGAUUAGAUACCCUGGUAGUCC
RNAcentral lists this ribosomal RNA (451 nucleotides) under uncultured bacterium. RNAcentral describes it as "bacterial SSU rRNA". It matches the Rfam family "Bacterial small subunit ribosomal RNA", at positions 354 to 796 of the family's 1533-position model. The record is from RNAcentral.